UGGGGAAUAUUGCACAAUGGAGGGAACUCUGAUGCAGCGACGCCGCGUGAGUGAUGAAGGAAUUCGUUUCGUAAAACUCUGUUCUAUGUGAAGAAAAGGACUGUACCAUAGGAGAAAGCUCCGGCUAAAUACGUGCCAGCAGCCGCGGUAAUACGUAUGGAGCGAGCGUUGUCCGGAAUUAUUGGGCGUAAAGGGUGCGCAGGCGGCUUUACAAGUUGGAUGUGAAAUAUUGUGGCUCAACCACAAACGUGCAUCCAAAACUGCAAAGCUUGAGUUAAGGAGAGGUAAGUGGAAUUCCUGGUGUAGCGGUGGAAUGCGUAGAUAUCAGGAGGAAUACCGGUGGCGAAGGCGACUUACUGGACUUAAACUGACGCUCAGGCACGAAAGCGUGGGGAGCAAACAGG
This 404-nucleotide ribosomal RNA is filed under the name Fusobacteriota bacterium. Its description in RNAcentral is "Fusobacteria bacterium partial 16S ribosomal RNA". It matches the Rfam family "Bacterial small subunit ribosomal RNA", at positions 355 to 776 of the family's 1533-position model. Lineage: Bacteria; Fusobacteriati; Fusobacteriota. The record is from RNAcentral.